RNAcentral lists this ribosomal RNA (330 nucleotides) under uncultured bacterium. RNAcentral's name for it is "bacterial SSU rRNA". It matches the Rfam family "Bacterial small subunit ribosomal RNA", at positions 568 to 898 of the family's 1533-position model. The record is from RNAcentral.
UCCGUAGGCGGUGCGGCAAGUCGGGAGUGAAAUCUCUGGGCUUAACCCAGAGGCUGCUUCCGAAACUGCCGCGCUAGAGUGUGAGAGAGGCGAGUGGAAUUGCGGGUGUAGCGGUGAAAUGCGUAGAUAUCCGCAGGAACAUCCGAGGCGAAGGCGGCUCGCUGGAUCACAACUGACGCUGAGGGACGAAAGCUAGGGGAGCAAACAGGAUUAGAUACCCUGGUAGUCCUAGCCCUAAACCAUCAGGACUUGGGGUUUGCCCUGUACGGGGCAAGUCCCGUAGCUAACGCGUUAAGUCCUGCGCCUGGGGAGUACGGUCGCAAGGCUGAA